Molecule: ribosomal RNA, 468 nt
Filed under: uncultured bacterium
Lineage: Bacteria
Description: partial 16S ribosomal RNA
Rfam family: Bacterial small subunit ribosomal RNA
Source: RNAcentral
GACGAACGCUGGCGGCGUGCUUAACACAUGCAAGUCGAACGGAAAGGCCCUGCUUUUGUGGGGUGCUCGAGUGGCGAACGGGUGAGUAACACGUGAGUAACCUGCCCUUGACUUUGGGAUAACUUCAGGAAACUGGGGCUAAUACCGGAUAGGAGCUCCUGCUGCAUGGUGGGGGGUGGAAAGUUUCGGCGGUUGGGGAUGGACUCGCGGCUUAUCAGCUUGUUGGUUGGGUAGUGGCUUACCAAGGCUUUGACGGGUAGCCGGCCUGAGAGGGUGACCGGCCACCUGGGGACUGAGGUACGGCCCAGACUCCUACGGGAGGCAGCAGUGGGGAAUAUUGCACAAUGGGCGGAAGUCGGAUGCAGCAACGCCGCGUGCGGGAUGACGGCCUUCGGGUUGUAAACCGCUUUCGCCUGUGACGAAGCGUGAGUGACGGUAAUGGGUAAAGAAGCACCGGCUAACUACGUG